AACGAACGCUGGCGGCAGGCCUAACACAUGCAAGUCGAGCGGACCUUUCGGGGUCAGCGGCGGACGGGUGAGUAACGCGUGGGAAUAUGCCCUUCUCUACGGAAUAGUCCUGGGAAACUGGGGGUAAUACCGUAUACGCCCUUUGGGGGAAAGAUUUAUCGGGGAAGGAUUAGCCCGCGUUGGAUUAGGUAGUUGGUGGGGUAAUGGCCUACCAAGCCGACGAUCCAUAGCUGGUUUGAGAGGAUGAUCAGCCACACUGGGACUGAGACACGGCCCAGACUCCUACGGGAGGCAGCAGUGGGGAAUCUUGGACAAUGGGGGCAACCCUGAUCUAGCCAUGCCGCGUGAGUGAUGAAGGCCUUAGGGUUGUAAAGCUCUUUCAGCUGGGAAGAUAAUGACGGUACCAGCAGAAGAAGCCCCGGCUAACUCCGUG
This 433-nucleotide ribosomal RNA is filed under the name uncultured bacterium. RNAcentral's name for it is "partial 16S ribosomal RNA". It matches the Rfam family "Bacterial small subunit ribosomal RNA", at positions 29 to 507 of the family's 1533-position model. The record is from RNAcentral.